AAAGCAUAAUUAGUUCCAUCUAUUUCAUUUAGAGAGAGUGUUCUUCCUUUUCUUUAACGUUUUGUUUUGUUUUCUUGUUCGUUGUCUCUGUUGUAUUUUAUCUCUUGUUGGAGUUUUUGUUUGUUUGUUUUGUUUUAGAUUUUUCAUGUUUUCUGGUAAGGGUUAUGUGCUGGUGUUCAUCCGUGAUUUCUUUUUGUUGGUUUUUAUCUUUUACAUAAGAAGAUGUGGAACAAAGGAAGGGGGGAAACAAAAGGAAGAGGCAGAGCAAAAGGAAGCCACCAAAUUCUUGUUCUACGAAAACUUGGCAGGAAGUGUGGAAAUUCCUGAAUUGCCUUUGUCUUGUGUACAGCAAGCGAGGAAGGAUGGAGCCGUCAACAGAGGAGGCACAGUAGAUGUUGAUAAUGUCACAGGGACCUGCCCAUAACAUGCUUUGCACAACUAAUUCACAGAUUCGAUGGAUUGGAGCCUGGAGCCAAUGCCAAUUCGGCUAGGGGAUUUGGGGUGAUAAAAUUGGUGAAGAAGUUGUUGCAAUUGAUAAAAUUAGUGUAAAUGUAAUUUGUAAAUUGAGGCAGUUUACUGGAUAAUGCAACAAACAAUGUCUAAAAUUGAAAUUGUUGCAUUUUUGAACCAGUUGUUGAAAUUGGUGGCAUCAAUAAAUGUAAUAUUUAAAUUGAGACAAUAUCUAUCCAGUAGAUUGAUAUGUAAACUGAUUUAUUAUUUAAUAUCAUUAUUUUUAUUUGGGUUGAA
Long non-coding RNA from Cryptomeria japonica (Japanese cedar), 747 nucleotides. RefSeq lists it as uncharacterized. Lineage: Eukaryota; Viridiplantae; Streptophyta; Pinopsida; Cupressales; Cupressaceae. The transcript is spliced from 3 exons. The record is from RefSeq and is a predicted model, not a curated record.